GAGAAGAUCUCAAAAAGAGGAGCUAUUCUUGAACUCAGCAAAUCAAGGAGAAUUUCAAAGUCACAAAAAUUCAAGUUCCUUUUAAUCUCUAUUCUACUUUUAGCAAGCAUUGUAUUUCUGAGUGAAUUAUUCUGUAAGCAACAAAAAAAAAAAUUAAUAUGGUGAGCCUCUGUAUGAAAAGAUUAAAAAAAAAAAGAGAAAGAAUUGAGUGUAGAUUUAUGAUUCAAUCAUCAACGCAAUGUACAACUACAAAUCACUCAAGAAUUAUAAGAGAACACUCUUGCAACCUCAAGGGAC
This 297-nucleotide long non-coding RNA is filed under the name Solanum tuberosum (potato). RNAcentral's name for it is "long non-coding RNA (STUB_LNC010903)". The record is from RNAcentral. Lineage: Eukaryota; Viridiplantae; Streptophyta; Magnoliopsida; Solanales; Solanaceae.